RNAcentral lists this long non-coding RNA (298 nucleotides) under Papio anubis (olive baboon). RNAcentral describes it as "lncRNA (ENSPANG00000050029.1)". Lineage: Eukaryota; Metazoa; Chordata; Mammalia; Primates; Cercopithecidae. The record is from RNAcentral.
UAUUUUAGUAUUUUAUUUUUAAAACAUCUAGUAGUAAGAUGUCUUCACUAAUUGAAAACCCAUCACAAUCUAAUCGCAUGUUUCUUUCUGUCUGAAGGUCACUGCACAAAUACGGAUGAAGCAUCUCCCAGGUGACGGGCGUAGUUCUGGGCGCUCAUACCUCAGUGAAUACACACGGACUCCUGUCGGCCUCAUUUGAGCAGUGGGGAGUGACAUGAUCAACAACAUACUUAAUAAUCCAGACAAUUUGUCACAAGGAAGUUCGGCAUGUGAUGGCAGCUGUCGCCUCAGUCACCCU